GCCCUUUCAGGCCUUUGGAGAGCCUCGGAGGGAGUUGGGAAAGGCUGUUUUCGCCCUUCGCGGAUGCAGAGAGAAGAUCUGGAGCCAGAACAUUCUAAGGGAGACACCAACUUGCCACCGUGAGACAAUAAACUGCCAAAAUGCAAUGAAGACUAUCACUCUUUUUUGAACUUACGAGAGUUUACAUAAGGAAAGGGAACUUGGGGUCCUGGAUUUGUGCAUCUCCAGCCUCAUGAAGCUUCAUCCAUACAACUCUCUGGAACAUCAAGCAAAGUCUGGAGACAAAUUCAUAGGACGGGUUGGUAGUAGGAUUUCACUUACGGCCCUGGAAUUUGCGGGAAAGGACCACGCAGUAGAAGUCCUUCUUGAGAAAUGCCUACGCUGGAUCGAUCAGCUCCAGACUGACUGCCACUCACUGGAGGGCAGACAGAACUUGUCUGAGGGAAGAUUUGUAAGAUUAUGCCACCAUCUGCUGGAAGAAUUUGGAAAAACGUGGCAGAAAGUGGAUAAUGAAAAGAAAAGGAAACCCAGGCCCGGCAUGGAGUAAGGUAGUCCUCGACUUACAACAGUUAAUUUAGUGACUGUUACAACGGCAGUGAAAAAGAAUGACUUAGGCUGUUUUCCACAGCAUUCCUGGUGUCACACAAUCAAAAUUCAGAUGCUUGAUCACUGAUUCAUAUUUACAGUGGUUGCAGUGUCCCGGAGUCAUGCGAUCAAGUUUUAUGACUUUCUGACAAGCCAAGACAAUGGGGAAGCCGGAUUCGCUUAAUGACUGUUUGACUAAUUUAACAACUGCAGUGAUUCAUUUACUGUGGCCAGAAAUGUCGUAAAAUGGGGCAAAACUCACUUAACAAAUAUCUCACUUAGGAACAGAAAUGUUGGGCUCCAUUCUGGUCGUAUGUUGAGGACUAUCUGGGUUAAGUAUCAGGUUGUCCCCAAUUUACAGCCAUUCAUUUAGUGAUGAAGUUAAAGCAGUACAAACUGAGUUAUGAUCAUUUUUCACACUUAUGACCCUUGAAAUAUCCUCAUAGUCACGUGAUCAAAAUACUUCAAGAGCAACGGAAUAGGUUUGAGUACAUAUUCCUCAACAUCCAAGUGUCGGAACAUGAACUGAAGUGUCCUCAACGAUUCUUUCACACCAGUCUUGUCUAGUUGACUAGCACAGUUUAAAAAAGGCAUUAAAAGCGGUUUUAAAUUCUUAUCCUGGAGGAAGCAGGGAAAGAAACAAGCAAUUAAACAAGGUCACUGGAGUUCUCUGGGUCUAGUAGCGAGAAUGACAAACACAUAGAAAGCCACAGAACAUAGAAUAACAGGCUUGAAAAGGAACUUAGUGAUAUUCUAGUCCAACCUCCUGCUCAAGCAGAAGACCCUAUACCAGUGAUGGCGAACCUUUUUGCCAUCGCGUGCCAGGAGGGGGGGGGAGGUUCGCGCGCGCAUGUGCCCACACCCAUAAUUCUAUGCGCCCUGCCCUGUGUAUGCACGCGCAACCCCCCUUCCCCCCCCCACUUGCUCCUGGCAUCCGAUGGCCAGGUAGGCCCAUUUUUCUUUCUUACCUGGCUCCAGACCCUCUCUAUGCAUCUGGGAAGGACGAAAACAGGCUUUCUCACUCCCUCGGAGGCCUGAAAGGGCCCAUUUUCCAACUCCCGGUGGGACAGGAAAUGACCUUUUUUGCUGUCCCCAGCCUCCAGAGCCUCUCUAGGAGUCUUGUCUAAUUGACUAGCACAGUUUAUCAAAGGCAUUAAAAGCGGUUUUAAAUUCUUAUCCUGGAGGAAGCAGGGAAAGAAACAAGCAAUGAAACAAGGUCACUGGAGUUCUCUGGAUCUAGUAGCGAGAAUGACAAACACAUAGGAACCCACAGAAAAUAGAAUAACAGGAUUGAAAAGGAAAUUAGUGAUCUUCUAGUCCAAUCUGCUGCUGAAGUGGGAGAUCCUAUACUCUUCUGCACAAAUGGCUGUUUAGUCUCUUCUUGAAAAUCUCCAAUGUUGGAGCAUUCACAACUUCUGGAGGCAAGUCAUUCUUCUGGAGGCAAUUGUUCUCGCUAUCAGGAAAUUCUCCUUAGUUCCAGGUUGCUUUUCUCCUUGAUUAGUUUCCAUCCAUGAUUGGGGAUCCAUGAUGGGGCAUUAAGCAGAGAUCAAACCCUCCCCUCCCAUGUACUGAUGCUGUCACCUCGCUGGGUUAUGAAAGGUCUGCAAGAAAACAACCAAGUUCAGAGAGCACCAAGGACCUCACAACUUCAGGAUUGUCCAGAAUCUCUCUGGAUUAUCCAGAGUGUCCACAUGAUACAACCACAUGGCUCUGUGUGAACACAGAGUACAAGUGGUCUCCUUAAGAAGGUAGCAUGUACAGACCAGGAGCUUAGGUUACCCAAUCCUUGAACUCACUUCUUUGCUCCGACCAUUUGCCAGCAAAAUUAAUAGCACAACAAGGCUCUGCGGGAUGUUUUCUCUCACGUAACUUCCAUGAAGCUCCUCCACCCUUUUCAAUAUUGUCCCAAAAGUAAUGGAGAUAUAUUGCAGUAAGGAGCUGUCCACUACGAGCAAUCGCAGUGGGCCUAAAAAGGACUUAAAAGAUACUCUAAAAGUGCCAGUGCCGACGAUGCUGUUCCCCUGGUAGUCUCGGAGAUGAAUAUGGGGGAAGUCCAACUGCCUUUUUGAGAUUUUAGGCACCAAUCCCCUUAAUGUACCCCAAGAGACGAUGGUCAUUUACGACCCUGUAUCCACCUCCAUAUGGCAAGGUGAUCCCUCAAUCAGGACGGUGACAUGGACCUUCUUGGAGAAGGAGAGGCUAGCUUGACUGUUGACUGUUUCUGCCUUAGAGGUGCCUCUGGAGACGGUAAAAUAGUCCUCUCCAUAAUUCUCUUGUCUUUUCUGCAUUCUUUUAUUCACAUUGCUCUGAGUGAAGACGGAGUACAAGUGGUAUUAAGAAAGCAUGAACAGACCAGGAGUCAGGUUACCCAGUCCAACUCACUGCUUCGUUCCGUCCAUCUGCUAGCAGAAUUCUUAGUGGAACAAGGCUCUGCGGAAUAUUUUCUUUUAUAUAACUCCUAUGAACCUUCUUCGCCCUUUUCAGUAGCAUCCCAAAAAUGUUCAUGGCCAUAUGUUGCAGUUCAGGGUCUUCCUAAGAAGGAAGAGAAACAGGUUUGUCACUCCAAUAGCAGAAAAUCUAUAUAGCUCAAUGCUGAACUUUGAAUUUAGGAAGAUCUUCGAGGCCACCCAACGGUGGUACACUCUCCUCCAUAAACACCCCUGGUCUUGCUUUCUUUUCUAUCCUCCUAUAACUUAACUCUAUUGUUUUGUGUCCCACAAAUUGAGGAGAGCACGGCUCAAAUGACCUCUUUCCGGUAUUUACAAACUACUGUCAUGUCCACUUGGUUAAAAGUCUAGUGAUUCUCAAACAUCCACAUCGUGGUUUGCCAAAGGUGCCAAAAAGCAAUGGGACUUUUUUGUUUUCUUUUUUCCGUUAAAAAUGUUCUGUUUUUCACUCAAGAAGCUUCUUCAUUUCAAAACUUCAUUCAAGCUUCUUGGAUGAAAAGCAAAAUGUUUUCAAAGAAAACACUAAGAAAGUCCAGUUGCCUUAUGGGAAAAGCACCUUUGGGACAACCAUCACCUGGAUGACUGAGAAUCUCCUUAAACAUGUCUGUUUAAUUAUAAUACUGUCCAGUCUUCAUUUAGCUAGCUUGAUAAUCCGCACAUCAUUGGGUGCUUUGUCAAACGCUUUGCUGAAAUGAAGAUAUAUUAUGUCUACCACAUUCCCACAAUCUAUUAUGGACAUUUUGGGGGAUUUUUUAUUUGUUUGCUUUGGUACUUUGGACUUCUGGCAACUGCCUGCAAUAGCGUCCACAGGGUUUUGGGGGUUUUUUUGGGCCAGGAAUAUUUUGGAACUGGUUUGUCAUUUUUUGCUUCCUAGGACAGAGAGAGUGUGUGACUGACUAAGGUCACCCAACUGCCAUCAAACCUAAUGAAAACUAGGAUUUAUGCUUUCAGGGUUUUAGUCUUUAACCUCCACACCAAACUGAUUUUCUAUUAAGGAAGUGUGAUGUGUUGUGAGAACCUACAAGGACAGACUGCAAUCUACAUGACAGUCAGCUAAACAAAAUCUGAGACCAGGGCAGAAAUUUAAUGUGAGAAAACAUUCUCCUUUGUUUUCUUAAAGAUAAAGGCAGGGAGGGUUCCAUUAACCCUAUAAUAAAAGCAUUCAUAACUUCCAUCAUCUUAAUCUGAUCUGCCUCAGUUACCCCCUCAAGAAAAAAAGUAAGAGUAGUUUGGCAAUUGCUUAUCUUGACAAUUCCAUUCUACUUGUUGGCAAUUGUGGUAAAAUGCUUGCAGAUCAACCUUUAUGGUAUGAUCUAGGGUGCUGUUUUUCAAUCUUAGCAGCUUUAAGAUGUGGGGAUUUCAACUCCUGGAGUUCUCCAGCCAGCAGAGUUGAAGUCCACCCAUCUUAAAACAUCUGAGAAAAAGCAACACCAAUCUAAUAGAUAUGGAGCGUGAUUGGGUUUUUUCUCGAUAUGGUGCAUGAUAUUCUAGAUUAUCUAGACUGAUGUGUGGUUUGGUGGAGCUGAAGAGAGUGGCAACCUUCAUUCUCUUCCACCUCAUCUGGCACUUCUCCAGCUCUCUAGAACCACUCAAGGAUCAUCUAGAAGCUUACACACUAUUUUAUAUUACCAUAACACAGUUGUUGUUGAACUAUUUCAAAGCAUUUUUGUUAAAAUUAGAAUUCUGCAGAUGAGAGAGAGAGAGAACCAGUUGUCGUGAUUUGUUUGACAUGUCAGGAAAAUAUUUUAGCAGCAGUGGAAUAAAUUUGACUGCCUUGUAUCCAUAUUUCUCGACAUCCAACUGUUGGAACAUGAAAUGAAGUGUCCUCAGAGAUUCUUUCACACCAGUCUUAUCUAGUUGACUAGCACAGUUUAUCAAAGGCAUUAAAAGCAGCUUUAAAUUCUUAUCCUGGAGGAAGCAGGGAAAGAAACAAGCAAUUAAACAAGGUCACUGGAGUUCUCUGGGUCUAGUAAUGAGAAUGACAAACACAUAGAAAGCCACAGAACAUAGAAUAACAGGCUUGAAAAGGAACUUAGUGAUCUUCUAGUCUGACUUGCUGCUCAAGCAGGAGACCCUAUACCAGUGUUGGCAAACCUUUUUGGCACCGAGUGCCCAAACUGGAACGUGCGUGCACAUGAUCAGACUUCAAACCUAAAGAUCAGCUGGUUGGUGCACAGGCGCACCAGCCUGCGCACCAGCCAGCUGGUAUUCGGGUUUUCGGUGCUCCAGCGCAUGCGAAGACUAACUGUCUGGCAAGCAUGCACACUCUAGAAACCUGAAGAACAGCUGGUGAUGGUGCGCAUGCCCACAAAGAGGGCUCUACAUGCCUCCUAUGGCACACAUGCCAUAGGUUCACCAUCACGGCCCUAUACUAUUCUGGACAAAUGGCUUUGGAGAAUAGGUGGACCCCUUUUUCUUUGGAGCAGCCCUCAAAUAUUAAAAGACGCAUGUCAUCCUACCUCCCCCCCCCCUUUUUUUUUUUGUUAGACUAGAACUACCUAGUACCCCAAUUGUUCAUCAUAUGGUUUGCCUCCAGCUAAAGUAAACCGAAGGGAAACACUUCAGCUUACACAGUUAAACAUACCAUAAUAUGCCCCAUUUCAAGCACAUAAACAUAUGCACUUAGAACGUAGAACAUGGAUUAAUAGAGUUGGAAGGGACCUUGGAGGUCUUCUGGUUCAACCCCUUCUCAAGCAGGAGACGCUAUACUACUCCAGAUAAUGAUUUUCAAGACUCUUUUUGAAAACUUGUAGUGAUGGCGCACCCACAACUUUUGAAGGCAAAUUGUUCCGUUGCCUGAUUGCUCUCACCAUUAGGACAUUUCUCUUUAGUUCCCGGAUGCUUGUUGCCUUGAUUAGUUUCCAUCCAUUGUUUCUUCUCUUGCCUUUUGGUGUUUUGGAAAACAAUUUGACCCUCUCAUCUUUCUAGGAGCCCCUCAAAUAUUGGAACAGGUUUUAUCAGCACCCCUACUCCUU
Pantherophis guttatus is the source of this 6007-nucleotide long non-coding RNA. RefSeq lists it as uncharacterized. Lineage: Eukaryota; Metazoa; Chordata; Lepidosauria; Squamata; Colubridae. The record is from RefSeq and is a predicted model, not a curated record.